UCCCUGGUGGUCCAGUGGUUAGGAUUCUGCACUUUCAAUGCUGAGGGCCCAGGUUCAAUCCCUGGUCAGAGAA
This 73-nucleotide transfer RNA is filed under the name Bos taurus (domestic cattle). RNAcentral's name for it is "tRNA-Glu (TTC) (tRNA-Glu-TTC-22-1)". It matches the Rfam family "tRNA". From Rfam's summary of the family: Transfer RNA (tRNA) molecules are approximately 80 nucleotides in length. Their secondary structure includes four short double-helical elements and three loops (D, anti-codon, and T loops). Further hydrogen bonds mediate the characteristic L-shaped molecular structure. tRNAs have two regions of fundamental functional importance: the anti-codon, which is responsible for specific mRNA codon recognition, and the 3' end, to which the tRNAs corresponding amino acid is attached (by aminoacyl-tRNA synthetases). tRNAs cope with the degeneracy of the genetic code in two manners: having more than one tRNA (with a specific anti-codon) for a particular amino acid; and 'wobble' base-pairing, i.e. permitting non-standard base-pairing at the 3rd anti-codon position. The record is from Rfam by way of RNAcentral. Lineage: Eukaryota; Metazoa; Chordata; Mammalia; Artiodactyla; Bovidae. RNAcentral also lists the same sequence under 5 other names.